CUCAGUGCUCUUCUGAGUCACCAGGCUAGGCACCGAGGUGCACCUCCAGUGGAUGAUACCGCCUUCCCUGCAGCAGGGGAAUGCUGCCUUUGGGAUGGCCCUCGUGGGAAGUGGGUUUGGGAUUUUGGUGCAUUGACCCGUGGGAGGUCCCUUAUGGGAAGUAAUUUUGAGAUUUUGGUGCAUUGACCUGUGGGAUAAUUCUUGUGGGAAGUGGGUUUGGGAUUUUGGUGCAUUGACCUGUGGGGUGUUCCUUGUGGGAAGUGGGUUUGGGAUUUUGGUGCAUUGACCUGUGGGGUGUUCCUUGUGGGAAGUGGGUUUGGGAUUUUGGUGCAUUGACCUGUGGGAUGUUCCUUGUGGGAAGUGGGUUUGGGAUUUUGGUGCAUUGACCUGUGGGGUGUUCCUUGUGGGAAGUGGGUUUGGGAUUUUGGUGCAUUGACCUGUGGGAUGUUCCGUGUGGGAAGUGGGUUUGGGAUUUUGGUGCAUUGACUUGUGGGAUGUCCCUUGUGAGAAGUGGGUUUGGGAUUUUGGUGCAUUGACCUGUGGGAUGUCCCUUGUGAGAAGUGCAUUUCGGACUCUGAUGCAUUGACCUGUGUCCUUGUCAUAGUUUGUGGAGCUGUUAUUCGGCUGGUGAACCUUGUGGGUUGUCCUCAACCAUCCUUCCACAUUUUUUCCAACACCUCUAGGAGCCUGCAGCAGGUUUGGACCUUCCCCUCCAGUGCUUUUCUCACAACAUUUGGAUUGUGACAUUAAACGGGGAAGAAAAAGCUGGUGUGAUGCCAACAGCUGCUUGUGCUGGCUCAAAGAAUUCGGGUGGCUCUGAGCUGUGUCACCUCGGUGUGCCACCACACACUGGUGACCAAGCAGGGCCUGGACACACAGAGUCACUGCUUUUCCCCCAGGCUGGUUUAGCAGGUCUGGACAAGCCAGGAUCUCCCUGAAGUCUUGGGCAAUCGGCUUCCCCGCUCCCUUCCCCACCACGCUUUCAUCUCUGCCUCUUCUGGGAAGCUUUGUGCAAUGCCUGAUGAGUGAUUGGCAUUUGGACAUGGCAGCAGCUCUGGCUGGAGCCCCACUGCUCGGGGUCUGGGGCUGUGGGGGCAGAACCCUCUCCUGGAAUGGGUGCAGGACAGAGCGUGCUGAGCCAGGGUUGUGCUUGUGGCUGUGUCAUCACUGCCAGGGGCUGGGGUUGGCAGGGGUGGCUUUGCGUGCCAAGCUGGGGAAAGGAGGCAUCUGGCUCUGCUGGCACGGGCUGACUGGCAGCCAAUGUAAACUCUUGGGUUUGAGCUGAAGCAAUUCCUGGGUCUCAUUCUCUUCCUGCCGUGAAAACACCUUUGUUCCAGCCCGGAACAGAAGCAGUUUGGCUUUCCCAGCAGCCAGGGCUGAAGGUGUCUUUCCUUGUGUCCUCCCUUGUGUCCUCCCUUGUGUCCUCCCUUGUGUCCUCCCUUGUGUCCUUCCAUGUGUCCUCCCUAGUGUCCUUCCUUGUGUCCUCCCUUGUGUCCUUCCUUGUGUUCUCCCUUGUGUCCUCCCUAGUGUCCUUCCUUGUGUCCUCCCUUGUGUCCUACCUCGUCUCCUUCCAUGUGUCCUCCCUUGUGUCCUCCAGGGCCACUGCUGACCAUGGUGGAGGAGGCAGAUGAAGGCUCAAGUUGCCCCUGGGGAGGUUUAGAUAUUGGGAAAACUUCUCCACCAUGAAGGUGGUCAGUGGUGGAGUCUCCAUCCCUGGGGGUGUUAAAACAUGUGGCAUAUGGGGACACGGGCUAGUGGUGGCCCUGGCACUGCUGGGCUUGAUGAUAGUAAAGCCUUUUCCAACUUAAACAAUCCUAAAAUUCUGUAAUUCUGAAACACCGGUGGGGGUUCUUGGGUUAUGGCAUGGGUUGGCUGUCCUGCAUCCAUCACAGAGCGACUCCCAGAGGAUACAGCCCAAGACUGGGUGUGGUGGAACAGCCAACAUUUAAUGGAAUAUCCAACACUAGCAACACCAGGAAGCAAAACAGGCAACAACUGCUGCAACAUGAAGCAGAUAAAGCAGAAGUCCUGACAGUUUCAAUUUAUCCCAUCACCCCACAAAGUCGUUCCAGACCCAGCUCUGCUGCCAGGACACCCUGGGGCUGCCUGCUCCCACCGCUCAGCUCCUGCCCUUCGUGGGGAAGCGCUGCCUGACCUGGAAGUGCUCACACCUCUUGUGCUUCAGGGACAGUCCGUAGAGCGGGGUCAUGUCCACCCUGCCGCCCUCGCAGACGCUGAACUCCAGCUGCUGGAGCAGCGUGGCCAGGAAGAGGAACACCUGCCACCUGGCAAUGUUCUCCCCGAUGCACCUCCUCUUCCCCAGGCCAAACACCAGCACCUUCUCCCCGUCCUCCUUGUUCACUUUGGUCCCGUCUGCGCUGAGGAAACGCUCGGGGUUGAAGGUUUCUGGGUCCUUCCAAAGCUUCCUGGAGGGAGAACAUCAGUGGAGGGGACCUGUCUGUCAGCACAGGAAAGGACCUGUUUGCCAGCAGAGGAGGGUUUGUGCCUCCCACGGUACUCACUCGUCGUGGUUCACUUGCCACUGGUUGACGAACACGCAGCGAUCCUUUGGGAUGAAGUAGCCGUUCAACACCGUGUCCUUGGUGGUGCUGGGGAGAGAAAAGAUGGAGAGCUGGGCAAGCCCAAAGGUUCUUCUGCAUCCUCAGGGGACUGCCAGGCUGCUCCUGAAGGGGUGGUUUGGGGGGACAGUUGUGUCCUCCACGAGCUGUAACGUGGUGCCUCAAGGCCACCUCGUCCCUGGAGCAGCUCUGCCAGCCCACCACCAUUCAGCACUGUCACUUUUGUGGUGCUGAAGGGAACACAGGUGGAAAGAGAAGUUAGAGGACACCCACAGCUCCUGACAAGCCAAAGACCAGCGAGUCCUGCAGGGGUUUCAUUUUCAAAGCCCUAUUUGUGCCCUCAGGACUGGCUAGGAAAUACCCCAGAUUGUAUUCGGGACGUUUAACAGUCUUGGUUUCCCUUUCCUCCAGCAGAAAAAUUCCAGUUUCACCUCACAGCUCAUUCCAGAUGAGUUUUGAUGCGGUUCCUCCCAAGCAAGGAAGAAAUAUAAACCCAGGGGUGCUCUGCCAGCAAAGGGAUCAAGUCCCCUCCAAAAACCCCAAAGGAGGUGUGGGCCGCUCCAGCCCGUACCUGUGUGGGAUGGCGAAGGGCAGGAAGGAGGAAUGCCUGAACAUCUCCAGGAUGAAGGCUUCCGUGUAGGGCAGCGUGCCCCGGUCCGACAGCCGCGGCCGCCGCUCCCGCCCGAUGGUGCGGUCUGGGGAGGUGGAGCAGCAACAGGCUCAGACAGGGCUGAGCACACAGGGCUGGGCUCUGGGGGGAUGCGGGUCCUGGACUCACCCAGCUCCUCCUGGAUCUUCUUCUGGAUGUUGGGGUUCGUCACAAGGUACAUGAGGCUCCAGGACAGGGCUGUGGUUACGGUGUCGAAGCCUG
Molecule: long non-coding RNA, 3450 nt
Organism: Passer domesticus (house sparrow)
Lineage: Eukaryota; Metazoa; Chordata; Aves; Passeriformes; Passeridae
Exons: 3
Source: RefSeq, a predicted model, not a curated record